GCUCUAGUCUUGAUGAAUCAACUCCUUCCUUAAACUGGAUGGUAUAUAUUGUUGCUGAAGGUGAUGUCAAAUUGCAGAUUAAUUGGAUUUAGCCUUCUUACCUUCAAUCUACUAUCUGGUGCUUGAGACACUACAGGCUACUGUCAAGGCAGCUCCUCAACUAUUGCCAUCUGUGGAACCCAUUCUCUCUCCUAUCAUCCUUAAUGUGUGGGCUUCACAUGUUUCAUACCCUUUUGCCACCAUUGAUGCUCUUGAGGUUUUGGAGUUUUAGUAAUGUGAAUCUGGGUUGCGGUUUCUUCUUUGCCCACUUGGUUCUAACAUUGUUGUCCGAACAGCAAGCUGUUGUGUUGGUGUUGUUUUACCUGUUUAUUCUACAUUUAAGGCAAUUGAACGAAGGGAUCACGAGGAGCAAAAAAAAUGGCUUAUGUACUGGGCAGCUUAUGGAUGUUUUAGCAUGGUAGAAUUGUUCACAGAUAAGCUUCUUAACUGGUUUCCACUAUAUAUACUAUCAUACGAAGUUUGCAUUUCUUGUUUGGCUUCAACUUCCAUCUAUCGAUAAGUUGGUCAGGAAAUUUAUGCAUGGCUGCAGGGUGCAAAGCAAGUGUAUAAUUUCCUCUUGGACCAUCAGGCUAAGCUUGACUGAAUUGUUGGAUUUGUAUAUGGUGAAAUGGUAAAUAGUUUACACAUGCAUUUGUGAGGACCAAUUACCAAAUGUGGAGGAUGCAUGAUUCAGAUUCUGAGGAUAUAUGAUGAUUGAGUAAAGAGUUCUCAAUCAAACUAGUGGGAGGUCCAUGCACAGAUCAGAAGGGCCAGGAUCGGUGAGCCUUUCUUUCUUUAAUUUCUUUCAAUUUGUUUUAGCAGUUUGUUUACUUGAAUUGGCUAAUCACUAAUUCUAGUGGGCAGGAGAAAGUAAAGCCUGAGGUUACGUUGAAUAGAUUUUAUAGAUCCAAUCCUUACUUUCUAUCUAUAAAAGGUAACAGUAUUACUGUUAUCCACUUGAGUGUCUACCUGAUCUGAUCAAUCUCUUUGGGAUAUGAUUAAUGCUGCUCACUGCUUAUGAAGCUAGCAUCCUUAUUUAAAGUGAAAGAAGAUUGAUUAUUUAUAUAUAUGAAGAUCGACCACAAAGCGCCUUUAAUUUGGCGCCCUUU
Long non-coding RNA from Ipomoea nil (Japanese morning glory), 1148 nucleotides. RefSeq lists it as uncharacterized. The record is from RefSeq and is a predicted model, not a curated record. The transcript is spliced from 8 exons. NCBI's taxonomy places the organism in Eukaryota, Viridiplantae, Streptophyta, Magnoliopsida, Solanales, Convolvulaceae.